AAUACAAGGCUCGCAUCGAAACGAAUAUCGUCAGAUAACCAUUCCGAUCCAGAUUCCCAAAAAUGUCAAUUUCGACACCGGAACUCACCAUCGCUCACUCUUCGUCUCCGAACCCUUGGAAUGACGUGACCAGCCAAUAAGGCUCAGCGACAAGUUAAUUUAUAGUGAGGCACGGUGCGAAGAAUUCCGAACUGAAACAGUGUUCCGUAGGCGAAUUUCAUCGAGAAACGCACUAAAAAUCAAUAUUCGAU
This 251-nucleotide long non-coding RNA is filed under the name Ananas comosus (pineapple). RNAcentral's name for it is "long non-coding RNA (ACOM_LNC036008)". Lineage: Eukaryota; Viridiplantae; Streptophyta; Magnoliopsida; Poales; Bromeliaceae. The record is from RNAcentral.